RNAcentral lists this ribosomal RNA (478 nucleotides) under uncultured organism. RNAcentral describes it as "partial 16S ribosomal RNA". It matches the Rfam family "Bacterial small subunit ribosomal RNA", at positions 332 to 801 of the family's 1533-position model. The record is from RNAcentral.
UACACUCCUACGGGAGGCAGCAGUGGGGAAUUUUGGACAAUGGGCGAAAGCCUGAUCCAGCAAUGCCGCGUGUGUGAAGAAGGCCUUCGGGUUGUAAAGCACUUUUGUCCGGAAAGAAAUCCUUGGCUCUAAUACAGUCGGGGGAUGACGGUACCGGAAGAAUAAGCACCGGCUAACUACGUGCCAGCAGCCGCGGUAAUACGUAGGGUGCGAGCGUUAAUCGGAAUUACUGGGCGUAAAGCGUGCGCAGGCGGUUUGCUAAGACCGAUGUGAAAUCCCCGGGCUCAACCUGGGAACUGCAUUGGCGACUGGCAGGCUAGAGUAUGGCAGAGGGGGGUAGAAUUCCACGUGUAGCAGUGAAAUGCGUAGAGAUGUGGAGGAAUACCGAUGGCGAAGGCAGCCCCCUGGGCCAAUACUGACGCUCAUGCACGAAAGCGUGGGGAGCAAACAGGAUUAGAUACCCGAGUAGUCCCAUGAU